UAAAUUGCUGUGAUUUAGUAAAGUAGAUUAUGUUUUACCUUACAGAGAAAACUUUGGUGGUGAGAAAAGUUUGGAGGAAAUAUAUUUGAAGUGCACUAAUGAGCUUUGAUUCGAAAUUUUAGUAGAUGAUACGUUUGCUUACGUUAUAGAGCUAGGACUUGUUUGAGUCUAAAUGAGAUGGGAUUUAUCCCAAACAAAGUGGAACCGCGAAGUUAACCUUUUGCCUUUGAA
This 231-nucleotide non-coding RNA is filed under the name Anaerosphaera aminiphila. RNAcentral describes it as "T-box sequence". It matches the Rfam family "T-box leader". Rfam says of the family: Uncharged tRNA acts as the effector for transcription antitermination of genes in the T-box leader family. T-boxes are found upstream of many aminoacyl-tRNA synthetase genes and some amino acid biosynthetic genes usually in Gram-positive bacteria. Lineage: Bacteria; Bacillati; Bacillota; Tissierellia; Tissierellales; Peptoniphilaceae. The record is from RNAcentral.